Long non-coding RNA from Bolinopsis microptera, 2205 nucleotides. RefSeq lists it as uncharacterized. The transcript is spliced from 7 exons. The record is from RefSeq and is a predicted model, not a curated record. Lineage: Eukaryota; Metazoa; Ctenophora; Tentaculata; Lobata; Bolinopsidae.
CUCAAUGCAAUUUUGAAUACAUGUCAGGAACACCUGAUUUAAACCCCCUCAUCCAUCACUCAUUCAGUGUUGCCUGUUGGAUAUGGAGGAAAUCUACACCACAAAGUGGAAUAUUGUAAAGGCACUCUUCAGUACACAUAAAAUAGAGCACGGUGAAUAAUAUAGAUUAGUUGCUGCUAUCUUCUUAACAUGAUUUUGAAUUUAUAAAUAGUAGUAGAGUAAAUGUCUGGAAUGCCUGACUUAAACCCCCUCAUCCAUCACUAAUUUCGAAUAAAUGUAUAGAUGCUGCAUUGAAUUCAUGAAGAUAUCAUUCGUUUUGAGCAAUCAUUCCCUUAGCUCCCCCGUUCUUUGAUUGUUUCAAAGAAGUAGUCAAACUACAAUAUGUAUUGUUUAGUUACAUCUAUUGCCAAGUUAUUUAAGCCAUUUCAUCUCUAGUAGAUUCAAAUAAUUUCUGUAAUUCUGAAUUAUGUUGCUGAACAAACUUGACAAUCACCAUUAGAAAGAAGGUGACAUGUUUAUGGACCCAGAACUAGCUAAGACAGUUCUCUGUGUACAUGCGGAUCACUUCAAGAAUCUUCUUGAUGAAAGAAGCUUGUGUGGUUUGUUAAAAGACUUCAAUCCGCUCACAGCCAUGCAGAUUAAGAAGAAUUUAGAUCGACAUUAUUUUAAUAAUAAUGAAAACUCAAAUGCUUGGAACGAAAUGAGUGGAGUUGAACGACGCCCUGUUUAUCGAAACUACAUCAAUCAACUUUUCAACUAUGCAGGGUUUCAAAAUGUACAAGGCAUCAUAUCAAAGAUUGCAUAUGCCCGAAAGAAGGACAAAUCCAAUUUGGCUCUCUGGAUGUAUGGAAAGCUCUCAACCUUCCAGAAAAGGACUGUUCAAAGGAACACUUAAAUCCCUCCGACAGACAAAGAUAACCUCUCUAGGCCCUCUGGUGGUGACGUAUAAGUGCUUUCUCAGUACUUUCUCUCGCUUUUGGACAAAUCCAAGUGCUGUAUCUGUACCCGAAUAGAAAUAAAGGAUUUUAAUGGAACAGUUUUCUUCCGCUCUGAAAGUGAACGAAUGACAAAACAGUCUAGAAAAUUCCUCGCCCUGCUGCAGAAGAUCAAUCCUGGGUUGUGCUCACCAAAGCAAACCUCUUUUUUGUGUAUUCAGUGUCUUAACUAUGUAAAAGACAACUAUAACAGGGUGUACAGUGCUGUUUCUGAAAUUGACGAAUCCUCUUGUGAUGAAGAUUGAAGAAGCUAUUGCCAUCCAAGUGGAAAAAGUCCCGCCUUUGUCACCCUCCUCGAAUAGAACUAAGAAAAUGUGGAGACUUUCUUCAUUUAGUUCCCAAUCAAGUGGACCAGAUGUUGAUUUGUUUGAAAUGGACUGAGACUUGUGUUUCAUAUGCCAGGUUGAACAGACGUUAGAAACGAAAAAGGAUAGUCUGAUUCAAGGAAAAGAUAAAAGUUUCUUCGUCGAUUUCGCAACAUACUAUCUGUGGACAUCUACAGAAAUCGUCAGGAUCUGUGCAACAUCGAUGUUAAUCCUGAUUCGCACAUGACCAAGUGCCCUGUUCUUAACCCUGAGAGUCUCGGAAAAUAUCUCUAUAGCAAGCUAGGUAGAUAUCACAAAACAUGUCGUUUGAGGUACAGCAACUCGAGGGUGAAACAAUUGAAGGGUAAAUUAUCUGAAGCUGUAAGUUUAAAACCUGUCUUUAAGGCAGGUUUUAAAAUGGAAAGACACGUGUCCACGCACGACAACACCAAUGCUGCAUUAAUGAGUGCAGGUAUUGACGCUGUACGGACCUUUUAACUGGAGCAGGAGAAUGUUUUACCAGAACUGUACCUCGUGUCUGACCCGAAGCUUAAGUACAAUGACUAUGUGACGUCUAAUUUAUCUGAGAACGCUGCAAACUCCAGCAAUGUUUAAUCUGAUCACAUCAGUUUUCAGAAAGACAAUGUCGGUAAGACGAGUUUGUUUCGACAGCAGGAUCGUAUCUAAUCUUGCCGCAACAAUAGAUGCGGAUAGAGAUGAUAACACUUUAACAAAGACAGCACUCAUAAAGGAGAUUAGAAAAGAAAUCUUUCAAUGUAGAAACGAAUUCUAUCAGCUAUGUUUGAUUUACUGAUCGGUGGCAUCUGUAGAAAUAUAGUGUUUAUGUGGAUUAAUCUGUUAAAGCAGGGCUAUUGUAUCAUUUUAACAUUAACUUUGCAUAGUGA